GUAGUUAGCCGGGGCUUCCUUGUGGAUUACCGUCACUUCCUUCGUCUCUGAGGACAGAGGUUUACAACCCGAAAGCCUUCUUCCCUCACGCGGCGUUGCUGGGUCAGGCUUGCGCCCAUUGCCCAAUAUUCCCCACUGCUGCCUCCCGUAGGAGUCUGGACCGUAUCUCAGUUCCAGUGUGGCCGGCCUGCCUCUCAGCACGGCUACCCAUCAUCGGUUUGGUGGGCCGUUACCCCGCCAACUGCCUAAUGGGACGCGAGCCCUUCCUUCAGCGGAUUGCUCCUUUGACCCCUUGGAGAUGCCUCCUUGUGGUCUUACGCGGUAUUAGCACUGAUUUCUCAAUGUUAUCCCCCUCUGAAGGGCCGGUUGCUCACGUGUUACUCACCCGUUCGCCACUAACUCUGCUUCUGUCCGAAAACUUCCGCUUCGUCCGUUCGACUUGCAUGUGUUAAGCGCGCCGCCAGCGUCGUCCUGAGCCAGGAUACAACUACUAGA
RNAcentral lists this ribosomal RNA (495 nucleotides) under uncultured bacterium. RNAcentral describes it as "partial 16S ribosomal RNA". The record is from RNAcentral.